GAAGUAAGCUGGGUAAUCGCUGGUGGAUUUCAUCCACGAGAGGAAAGUCCGAGCUCCAAAGGGCAGGGUGCUGGAUAACGUCCAGUCAGAGCGAUCUGAAGGAUAGUGCCACAGAAAUGGACCGCCAAUGGCCAUCAUAUGAUGGUACAGGCAAGGGUGCAACCGUGGUGUAAGAGACCACGAGGGAAUAUGGCGACUUAUUCCCUGGUAAACCCCACCUGGAGCAAGACAAGAUAGGAGCGCAUAUAGGAGUGGCCCGCUCCGCGUUCGGGUUUGUCGCUUGAGCCAUAUAGUAAUAUAUGGUCUAGAUAGAUGAUUACCGCUUCAACAGUGGGAGCUAAGAUGCGUUUACCACUAGAAGUACAAAACUCGGCUUAUAGGCUUACUUUCCAA
This 393-nucleotide RNase P RNA is filed under the name Tepidibacillus fermentans. RNAcentral's name for it is "Bacterial RNase P class A". It matches the Rfam family "Bacterial RNase P class A". From Rfam's summary of the family: Ribonuclease P (RNase P) is a ubiquitous endoribonuclease, found in archaea, bacteria and eukarya as well as chloroplasts and mitochondria. Its best characterised activity is the generation of mature 5'-ends of tRNAs by cleaving the 5'-leader elements of precursor-tRNAs. The record is from Rfam by way of RNAcentral. Lineage: Bacteria; Bacillati; Bacillota; Bacilli; Caryophanales; Bacillaceae.